RNAcentral lists this ribosomal RNA (440 nucleotides) under uncultured bacterium. RNAcentral's name for it is "partial 16S ribosomal RNA". It matches the Rfam family "Bacterial small subunit ribosomal RNA", at positions 338 to 795 of the family's 1533-position model. The record is from RNAcentral.
CCUACGGGUGGCAGCAGUAGGGAAUUUUGCGCAAUGGGGGAAACCCUGACGCAGCAACACCGCGUGAAUGUUAAGCCCUUCGGGGUGUAAAGUUCUGUCAAUAGGGACGAAUUUUGACUGUACCUAUAAAGUAAGCACCGGCUAAUUCCGUGCCAGCAGCCGCGGGAACACGGGGGGUGCAAGCGUUGUCCGGAAUCAUUGGGGGUAAAGCGUGCGUAGGCGGUAUGUCAAGUCUGAUGUUAAAGCGCGGGGAUCAACUCCGGUUCGGCAUUGGAUACUGGCAAACUAGAGUGUGGUAGAGGUAGAGGGAAUUCCUGGUGUAGCGGUGAAAUGCGUAGAUAUCAGGAAGAACAUCGGUAGCGAAAGCACUUUACUGGACCAUUAUUGACGCUGAGGAACGAAAGCCAGGGGAGCAAAUGGGAUUAGAUACCCCUGUAGUC